Molecule: long non-coding RNA, 5853 nt
Organism: Mesocricetus auratus (golden hamster)
Lineage: Eukaryota; Metazoa; Chordata; Mammalia; Rodentia; Cricetidae
Exons: 5
Source: RefSeq, a predicted model, not a curated record
CAUAACUGAGCCGCAGCUCAACUCUGUCAGGUUUCCCUCGUGAGGACCAUCACUGGAGGCUGAGCUGGCCCUUCAUACAGCUUGAUUUUCCUUGUGUGUGUGUGUGCGCGUGCGUGCGUGCGUGCGUGCGUGCCUGUGUGUUUCUGUGCACGCGAACGCAGGAGCCCACGGAGGCCCGCUCUCCCGGAGCUGGAGGUGUCUGCGAGUCCCGGGACACAGGUGUUGGGACCACGCUCCAGUGCUCUAACAGCAGCUGGCUCUCCACCGGCUGAGCCAUCCUCCAAGCCAGCUGAGGAAUCUCAUCCUUAGGGGCCGGGGCAGGCAGGGUCUCAGGUGCCUGCACUAAGGACUGUGUGGCCCAUGGACACUUAAAGACUAACCCCGAACAGCUGGCUGCUUCCCCGGCACCCCAAGCCCAGUUCGGGCGCAGCUCUGCCUGCCCUUCCUCCCCGGUGCACGCGCUCCAAGGAGUCUGCGUCACAGCCGGUGUCACGGUCAGGAGCUCCAGAGAGAUAGCCUGAAGCUGAGUCAUAAUGUCCCAAGGCAAGAGUUACCUUAUAAAAACCACUGUCCCAAAGGAGACUUGGAAACAGAGUAACCCUAAGAAAGGCCUAGAGACACACACGGGUGUUCCUAGCCUCCAGGAUCUCAGAAGGACUAAAAUCCAACUACACGGCUACUUAAGACUUGCCCCGAUCCCGUGCCCAGUACUGGAGACUUUGGCUUGAGUACCUGCAUGGGAAGCCAGCAACCUUUACAGACCACACCAGAACGAAGAGGCUGAGGUACAGGGGACAGCAUCUGCCCGCCAAACCUCCAGGUACCCUCACUCUAAGAGGAAAUGCCUGCUUGAAACCUCACAGAUGCAAAGCUAAAAAGUAAAAAGUGAAAAAAUGUUUUUGCUCGAGAGAGGAGUGUGAAGUUUCUUCCAUAAAGCGGUAUAUAUGCUUAUAAGCAAUACAAAAAAAAAAAAAAAGAGUAACUGCAUCAGUCUUAGUUGGAGUGGACAUCAGUCCACGCCAGGUCUAGGACAAGAGCAGGCCUCAGGUUCUUCACAGAGAGGCCGGGAAUCGAGAGCUAACCUUCUUCAAAGGGAGGCACAGCAGGAAACAAGCCGUCAACAGCUCCCUACUCCUCACGCAUUCACUCUAAUUAGGGAAAACUAACCCGGAAACUCCCACCUAUCACCCCCGAAGAGGGUGUUGGAGUACUGACAGACUCCCUGGGACAGUCUGGGUAUGACGCAAAGUCACACCCACAAGAGUCUGAGAAGGGAACCUGGGGAGCCACUGGACAGGCAGGCAGUGGCCUCUGAGACUCUGCCGUGGACCUGGGUAUCCCCUCAUUUUGGGCUUGUGUUCUCAGCACUGGAGUCAGUUCCAAACAAAACCUCAUCCUCCACCCGCGCCCCCUCCCAACAGGAAAGCAGAGCUGGUUCCUGCCGUGCUCCCGAAGCGCAGACGGAGAGCCCCACGGCAGCCAGGGCCGUGGGGUCACUGAGGGUGCUGUGUAGGACACUGAAAUGAGCUGGACUUGAGCUGCUGGCUUGGUCUCUGCACACCAACGGACUUUCCUGUCCUGUUCCCCUGGCGUGUCCCCCACCCACCCCCACCCCGGGCAGCAGCAGGGUGGUUAUUUUGGGAAGCUACUGGUUUUGCCAUUUGCUUCCAGAAUCCCAGAGACUGUAACAAACCUUACACUAAACACUGUUCAGUCCUGAGUGGGGUGUGAGCCCAGCAAGGAGGGCCGAGUUCAUUAGGACUCUCUUCCCUCCUUGGCGUGGCGUCAUACAUGGCCUUCAGCCUUUCCCUCCUCCAUGGCCUGCCUCUCGCAUGCUGCACCGGCCUCUGCUUCUACAGUCUUCUUGCUCGUUGCUUUGUUGGCCGCUUCCUGGGGGUUAAAGGAGGAGGGGAAAUUAGCCUCUGCCUUCCCGAGAUGGUUUUAUCAAGCCUACAACAAGCGUGUCUAUGUGUAUUUGGGGCGCACAGUUGGUAAGUGGGGUGGAAGCUGGAGCUCAGGGACAGACCUGCUGCCAGCUGGCACUCACACAGUGACACACCUGUCUCCUGGACAUCGUAGCCAGGAAGUGUUACCUGGAAAAAAUACUGAUGGGCUUACAAGUUUUUUGUUUUGUUUUUUUUCAAGAUAUGGUUUCUCUGUGUAACAGCCCUGACUGUCCAGGAACUCACGCUAUAGACCAGGCUGGCCUGGAACUCAAAGAGAUCCAUUUGCCUCAGCCUCCCAAGUGCUGGGGUUAAAGGUGUGCUGAAUUUAUUAAUAUUUUAAAUAACAAGCUAACUUGGUUUGGUGACAGAUGCCUGAAAUCCCAGAACUCAUGGAGCAGAGGCAAGAGGAUCUCUGAUAUGAAGCUAGCCUGGGCUACAGGCUUCUACAUCUCAAGGAGUUAGCCUCCCCACUCUCCCAUGGACAUGCAAGGCCUCAGCACCCAUGUCUCUGGACAGUGUUGGAGUGCGACCCAACCUGUGCACCCUCAGCAGCCCCUGGCCACACCCAAGUCUCUUCCUUAGCCUUGUUUCUCUGAGGUUGACAACCCGGCCUUGUCCUCCCCACUGGACAAGCUCAGCUCCUCAUCUGCCUCAGGCCGGGUCCGCCACGCACCUUUGCGUCCUGCUCCGCAAACUUGGCGAACAUGUUGGCGUACACCCUGCGGUCUCGAUCGUUGUGCUCCUUGGCCUUCUUCUGGCACCUGGAGAUCUGCAGCCUUGCGGCCUUGUUCUGAGGGUUUACCUCCAGCACCUUCUCAAAGUCGCCUUUGGCUGACUCAAACUCGUUCAUGAGCAGCUGGGCUUCACCCCUUCUGUACAAGCCUUUCUCGUUGGCGCUGUCCAGUCCAAGCGCCUGGAAUAGAGAGACGGCCACAGUUUAGGAGGGACGGCUGUGAGUCUCGUCACUUGAGGGCAAUGAAGAUCUUUAGGAAAUAGCGUGCAGUUCAAGGGCGACAGGCAAGAGGUGCAAUCACACCCCAAGAUAAGCAGAGUGCAAAGUGCUUUAAAAUGAAGAUGCAGUGUCACCUAAAUGAACAAGACUCAUCCCACCCUACGCAGGACAGUCACUGAGACGGUCAAAUGAAGAACAGAUGAACUGCCCCUCAACAAACAGUGGUCUUUACUGUCUCUGCCAGGUUGUUUUGGGGUGACUAUGGCCUCACAGCUCUCCCACUUGGUCUCCACCUUCAGAUAAGGUUGCAGAGGCAGCAGCGGCGGCAAACGUCAGAAAGAAGCUGUGAAGACUCGACUCAGGCUGAGCUUUACUGAGUUAUGAGAACAAACCACAAGGGGUAAACCAAUGAAUUCUCUCUCAAGACUGCAGUUACAAGAAAGAAAAUCCAAGAACACGCCAGAAGAGGGCACCAGAUCCCAUUAUAGAUGGUUGGGAGUCACCAUGUGGUUGCUGGGAAUUGAACUCAGGACCUCUUAACCCCCGAGCCAUCGCUCCAGCACCAGUAAUCCCUCUUUCAAGUGGCAACUGCAAUGAGAACAACCAGACCUUCUUGGGCUGUGCUUGCAUGAGAACAAGUGCAGCCCAGCAAUGUGGGGAAUCACUCAGUGGUCUGAAGACUGCAUGUUCUUUCCCGUCACAGGUAGGUGCUAGUGACCUGUCGGGAGUGGAGGAAGUGUGGGGCCAUUCCUGUGAACUCUGACUGUCACACCCUCUCUCCAUCCUUUCCCUCCACACCUCCACGCUGACACGGACCAACCAAGACGCAUCAGGCCUUGAGUGGUACGGAUGCAGAUGAGCAGGCCAGGCGAGGUCUGCUCUGAGGGGAGGUUACCAUGUGCUCACCACAUACAGAAGAGGAGCCGCCUUAUCGCCUUACAGUGACGCACUCUCACCCACCCUUACCCUGGACCAGCAGGACACUGUGGAAGUGAGGACUACUCUCACUCAAAAGGGGCUGACAGCAUGUGAAGGGGGACACCAGCACGGCACGCGGACACUUGAGUAACAGCGUAGCAGGGAAGGGUUACAGGGGCUUACACACCUUGAAGUACACAGUUCCCUUCUCUUUGACAAUGGCAGCCUGCUCCAGUUUUUCUUUGGUGUCCAUCUCCCAGGAUUCUUUGGCCUGUGUAUAGAUUUGUGGUAUCAGUUAGAUGAGCACAAGGACACAUACCAGUUGACAUUUAGAGAACAAACAGCAGCUACUUCUACAAAAUACCCAAACUCAAAACAGUGGCAGGCAGCCAGGCAGUGGUGGCGCACGCCUUUAAUCCCAGCACUCGGGAGGCAGAGGCAGGCGGAUCUCAGUGAGUUCAAGACCAGCCUGGUCUACAGAGUGAGUUCCAGGACAGCUUCCAAAACAAUACAGAGAAACCCUGUCUGGAAAACAAAAAGACACUAGCAGGCAGAACUGUGUGCCGCUGCCGAGCCGCUGCCAGGCCAGUGCUCUCAGUGCCACUCUAAGAGCAUGAGCCGUGGUUCCCACGCUGCGGUCUGAUGCAGGCUGUCCAAGGGAACGGGCAAAGCACAGCAGGAACAUCAGUGCUGAUCACUCUGAAGGACUGUGCUUUAGAAUGACAGGCCAGCCUCCCGAGGAAUGCCUCACUACGCUGCUGCCACCACCGCCACUUCUGUUUCUGCCAAGUUUGUUUUCCAACUCUCAAGUGGGAUCAUUACUUAUGGUCCAGGCCAAGCUGUGCAUGCAUAGAGAAUUUCUUAAAUUCCAGGCCAGGCAUUGUCUUAUGGCCUCUACCAGUAUCAGCUUGCAGGUGUGCGCGUGGGGAAUUUCUUUUCUUAUUUUCCAGGCAGCAAUGUAUCUCAGGCUGGCCUCCAGCUUACCAUGUAGACAAGGAUGACCUUGAACUCGUGACCCUCCUGUUGGCACCUCUCAAGCGCUGGGAUUACUGGUGUACAUCUCGAUGCCUGCCUUUCCUUCAGGGAUCUUCAGCAAAAUAGGACUGGGAAGAUGGGAGCUCAUGCGAAAACAUCACUGCAGAGCUCUGCAUAAGUGACCUCACCGUCACCAGGGGCAGCGUUAUGUAUUAUGUGUGCCCUACUCUCUACAACAGUACACGCAGGUCUAGAAACAACAGCUCUGGGGCUGUCAUUCAGUGAGACAGUGCUUGUCCUGCAUACUUGACAUGGGUUUUAAAAAAAAAUCCAUAUAACUGCUGGAUUUAAGAUCACAGAACCCAGUAGGAUACCCAAGGUCUUUUAGGAAAUGCAAUAGGAGUGGUUGGCUCUAUUUAGUACAUAUGGAUUAGAAAGUUCAAGUGGGGGGCUGGAGAGACGGCUCAGCAGCUAAGAGCAUGGCUGCUCUUCCAGAGGACCCGUGUUCAGUUCCCAGCACCUACAUGGCAGCUCACAACUGUCUGUAACUCCAGCUCCAAGAGAGUUAACCCUCUCUCACAGACACACAGGCAGAAGAGACACUAAUGCAUAUAAAAUAAAAAUAAAUCUUAGGAAGGAAGGAAGUUAAUUCAAGUGGACUCAGGUAAGCAUUGGUGGCCCACGCCUUUAAUCCCAGCACUUGGGAGGCAGACGUAGAAGAAUCUCUGUGAGUUUGAGGCCAGCCUGAUCUACAGAGUGAGUUCCAGGACAGCCAGCGCUGUUACACAGAGAAACCCUAUCUUGAAAAACAAAACAACAAAUAUUGUAUGUGUAUCUCACAUGUAUACCUAUGUGAACAACAAAUAUUGUAUGUGUAUCUCAUAUGUGUACCCAUGUGAACAACAAAUAUUGUAUGUGUAUCUCACAUGUGUACCCAUGUGAACAACAAAUAUUGCUAGUGUAUGUGAACCUGUGUAAAGACCACAGGUCAGUUUAGGUGUCUUUCUCUAUCACUCCCCACCUACUUAAAAAAAUAAAACUACUUUUACUUAUUUUUUUCAA